Molecule: non-coding RNA, 212 nt
Organism: Oryza punctata
Lineage: Eukaryota; Viridiplantae; Streptophyta; Magnoliopsida; Poales; Poaceae
Source: Rfam
AAUAAGUGCAGUUUUACACUGUUCAUGUUUAACAUUUGACCAUCCAUCUUAUUUGAAAAAUUUUUAUGAUUAGUACUUUUGUUGUUAUUAGACAAUAAAACAUGAAUAAUACUUUAUGUGUGACUAUUAAUUUUUUUAAAAAAUUUUUAUAAAUUUUUUAAAUAAGACGAACGGUCAAACGUUAGAUAUGGAUAUCCAUAGUUGCGCUUAUU